AUACGGAGGGUGCGAGCGUUAAUCGGAAUUACUGGGCGUAAAGCGUGCGUAGGCGGUUAUUUAAGUCAGAUGUGAAAGCCCCGGGCUCAACCUGGGAACUGCAUUUGAAACUGGAUGACUAGAGUUUGGUAGAGGUGAGUAGAAUACCUAGUGUAGCGGUGAAAUGCGUAGAUAUUAGGAGGAAUACCAGUGGCGAAGGCGGCUCACUGGACCAAAACUGACGCUGAGGCACGAAAGCGUGGGGAGCGAACGGGAUUAGAUACCCCAGUAGUCC
Molecule: ribosomal RNA, 274 nt
Filed under: uncultured bacterium
Lineage: Bacteria
Description: partial 16S ribosomal RNA
Rfam family: Bacterial small subunit ribosomal RNA
Source: RNAcentral